UACGUAGGGUGCGAGCGUUGUCCGGAAUUAUUGGGCGUAAAGCGCUCGUAGGCGGUUUGUCACGUCUGCUGUGAAAUCCCGAGGCUCAACCUCGGGCCUGCAGUGGGUACGGGCAGACUGGAGUGCGGUAGGGGAGAAUGGAAUUCCUGGUGUAGCGGUGGAAUGCGCAGAUAUCAGGAGGAACACCGAUGGCGAAGGCAGUUCUCUGGGCCGUAACUGACGCUGAGGAGCGAAAGCGUGGGGAGCGAACAGG
Molecule: ribosomal RNA, 253 nt
Filed under: uncultured bacterium
Lineage: Bacteria
Description: partial 16S ribosomal RNA
Rfam family: Bacterial small subunit ribosomal RNA
Source: RNAcentral